ACCCUGGUAGUCCACGCUGUAAACGAUGUCGAUUUGGAGUUUGUUGCCUAGAGUGAUGGGCUCCGAAGCUAACGCGAUAAAUCGACCGCCUGGGGAGUACGGCCGCAAGGUUAAAACUCAAAUGAAUUGACGGGGGCCCGCACAAGCGGUGGAGCAUGUGGUUUAAUUCGAUGCAACGCGAAGAACCUUACCUGGUCUUGACAUCCAUAGAAUUCUGCAGAGAUGUGGGAGUGCCUUCGGGAACUAUGAGACAGGUGCUGCAUGGCUGUCGUCAGCUCGUGUUGUGAAAUGUUGGGUUAAGUCCCGCAACGAGCGCAACCCUUAUUCUUUGUUGCCAGCGAUUUGGUCGGGAACUCAAAGGAGACUGCCGUUGAUAAAGCGGAGGAAGGUGGGGACGACGUCAAGUCAUCAUGGCCCUUACGACCAGGGCUACACACGUGCUACAAUGGCGUAUACAAAGGGAAGCGAAGGUGCGAGCUGGAGCGGAUCUCAUAAAGUACGUCUAAGUUCGGAUUGGAGUCUGCAACUCGACUCCAUGAAGUCGGAAUCGCUAGUAAUCGUAGAUCAGAAUGCUACGGUGAAUACGUUCCCGGGCCUUGUACACACCGCCCGUCACACCAUGGGAGUGGGUUGCACCAGAAGUAGAUAGCUUAACCGCGAGGGGGGCGUUUACCACGGUGUGAUUCAUGACUGGGGUGAAGUCGUAACAAGGUAACCA
This 718-nucleotide ribosomal RNA is filed under the name uncultured Enterobacteriaceae bacterium. Its description in RNAcentral is "bacterial SSU rRNA". It matches the Rfam family "Bacterial small subunit ribosomal RNA", at positions 784 to 1502 of the family's 1533-position model. Lineage: Bacteria; Pseudomonadati; Pseudomonadota; Gammaproteobacteria; Enterobacterales; Enterobacteriaceae. The record is from RNAcentral.